This is a non-coding RNA of Phrynosoma platyrhinos (Desert horned lizard), 71 nucleotides long. The record is from the annotation of a GenBank genome assembly. Lineage: Eukaryota; Metazoa; Chordata; Lepidosauria; Squamata; Phrynosomatidae.
GCCAGUGUGGGGUAGUGGUUUGCGCGUGGGACUGUGACUCUGGAGAUCAGGGUUCAAAUUGCAGCUUGGCG